GGGGCGUGGCCUCGCCCUGGGGCCGUUCCCUGACGCUUUCCCCCCCCCCCAGGUCCCCCGGGAACCCCCCCGGGAGCCCCCCGGGCGCGCGGCCGAGCGGGCGGCGCUGGAGCUGCAGCGGCGCAGCCAAGGUUACCGAUUGGUGGAGAGCGACGAGGAGGCGGGGCCUGAGCCCGGCCCCGCCCCCGACACAGCUGCCCGCCGCCGCCGCCGCCACCACCUCCGGCGCCGCCGCUCCGAGUCCCCCGAGGCCUCCAGCCCCUCGCCCCCGCCGCCGGCCCCGGCUCCGGACCCCCCCGAGGAACCGGAGGCGGAAUGGGAAGCGUCGGAGCGCGAGCGCCUGCGGGACCUGGAGGAACGCGAUGCCUUCGCCGAGCGCCUCCGCCGCCGCGACCGCGACCGCACGCGCCACGUCCUCGCCCGCCCCGACGCCAAGG
Long non-coding RNA from Oxyura jamaicensis (ruddy duck), 437 nucleotides. RefSeq lists it as uncharacterized. The record is from RefSeq and is a predicted model, not a curated record. Lineage: Eukaryota; Metazoa; Chordata; Aves; Anseriformes; Anatidae. The transcript has 2 exons.